RNAcentral lists this transfer RNA (102 nucleotides) under Trichophyton concentricum. RNAcentral describes it as "tRNA-Arg". It matches the Rfam family "tRNA". Rfam says of the family: Transfer RNA (tRNA) molecules are approximately 80 nucleotides in length. Their secondary structure includes four short double-helical elements and three loops (D, anti-codon, and T loops). The record is from RNAcentral. RNAcentral also lists the same sequence under 1 other name. Lineage: Eukaryota; Fungi; Ascomycota; Eurotiomycetes; Onygenales; Arthrodermataceae.
GGCCGCGUGGCCUAAUGGUUAAGGCGCUGGUUUUCGGUUUUGUCUUUAUUUAGGCGAAAAUCUGUCCACCAGAGAUUGUGUGUUCAAAUCACACCGUGGUCG